AUUACAGAACGCGAGGCGCUCAUAACGACGCUCUUUGAUCCUUCGAUGUCGGCCCUAUCCUAUCACUGUGAAGCAGCAUUCACCAAGCGUUGGAUUGUUCACCCCAAUAACAGGGAACGUGAUCUGGGUUUAGAGAAUAGUAGUUAGUUU
This 150-nucleotide non-coding RNA is filed under the name Volvox carteri f. nagariensis. RNAcentral describes it as "Eukaryotic large subunit ribosomal RNA". It matches the Rfam family "Eukaryotic large subunit ribosomal RNA", at positions 2833 to 2989 of the family's 3401-position model. Lineage: Eukaryota; Viridiplantae; Chlorophyta; Chlorophyceae; Chlamydomonadales; Volvocaceae. The record is from Rfam by way of RNAcentral.